AUGAGGAGAUUCGGAACUUGCUGGCCUUUCCCGACGGAAUUGACGAGUCUGAGUACGACGAGAUGGUCAAGUCUGCCUGGGCCAAGCAACAGAAAGGUUGUGAAGCAUCAAACAGAACAUAUUUGUAGUUCAACGAGUGGAAAAGUGACUAGAAUGACAAGUCAAUCUUGGGUGGCUGACAAGGCAGCAACUAUGCUUAAGAAAGAUCCAACCAUUGGUGCUGUGAAGAUACUUAAAGAGUUACAGGAAGAGCAUCAUGUCACACUUGACUAUAACACAGUGUGGAAAGGCAAACAAAAGGCAACAACCAGCUUGUAUGGGAGUUGGGAAGAAAGUUUCAGGAUGUUGUACAACUACAAGGCCGAGAUAGAAUUGAGGUCUCCAGGGAGUAUUGUAGAGAUUGAUACAACCACAAGUGAAGGUGAAGUACAUUUCAGCAAGCUAUUUAUUGCUUUCAAGCCAUGCAUAGAUGGGUUUCCGAAUGGAUGUAGGCCAUAUAUCAGCAUAGACUCAACUCACUUAAAUGGCAAGUGGAAAGGUCAGCUAGCUGUAGUCACUGCUUUGGACGGUGACAAUUGGAUGUUCCCGGUGGCGUAUGGCUUUAUUGAGUCUGAAAAUGGAGAAAAUUGGGCUUGGUUCAUGAAUCAAGUGAAGAAGGCAAUAGGGGACCCUCCAGUACUGGCUGUUUGUACGGAUGCUUGCAAGGGUCUUGAAAAUGCUGUUAAAAAGGUUUUCCCUCAAGCUGAGCAGCGUGAGUGCUUUAGGCAUAUGUGGCAUAAUUUUCAGAAAUAUUUUCAUGGUGAUGUGUUUGGACGGUUGUGGCCUGCUGCUAGGGCAUAUAGGGCGGAAGAAUAUCAACAUCACAUGACAAAGGUGUUUGAGGCAUCUGAGAAAGCGUAUCCUUACCUUAGGGAUUACCAUAAUCUGUUAUGGAUGAGGUGCAUGUUCAAUCCUGACAUCAAGUGUGACUACAUAAAUAACAAUCUUGCUGAGUGCUUUAAUUCUUGGGUGCGAGAAAUCAAGGACUUGCCGAUUGUUCAGCUAGCUGAUAAGAUUAGAGAGAUGAUUAUGGACCUAUUUAGAAAGAGGAGAAUGAUUGGAGAGAAAUUGGUAGGGAAAAUACUGCCAUUUGUCAUACACCAAUUAAAUGCAAAGACUCGAGGACUAGGACAUCUCAAGGCUAAAACAUCAGCUGAUUGGAGUGGAGAAGUGAAAAAUGAUAACAAAGGGGAUGAAAGACAUGUCGUCAAAACACUCACACAUGAGUGUACAUGUCUGCAAUGGCAGCACACAGGCAAGCCUUGUGACCAUGCACUAGCCUUCAUAAAUGUUUUGCAAGCUCGCAACUUUGUGAACAUGGAGGAUUAUGUGCACGGGUACUACUCAGUUAGCAGAUUCAGGGCAGCAUAUGAAGGUGUAAUUGAGCCCCUUACGGACAAGAAUCAGUGGCCACAUGUUGAUACAGGCUUUGUGUUGCGUCCACCAAUUCCAAAAGGCAAGAAAAAAGGUGCUGGAAGAACAAGAAAACAGAGGAUGAAGAGUUGGUGGGAAGGUUGA
Molecule: ribosomal RNA, 1557 nt
Filed under: Triticum aestivum (bread wheat)
Lineage: Eukaryota; Viridiplantae; Streptophyta; Magnoliopsida; Poales; Poaceae
Description: partial small subunit ribosomal RNA
Source: RNAcentral